UACCUGCAGCUCAAGUGGUGGCCGUUAUUAUUGGGCCUAAAACGUCCGUAGCCGGUUUAUUAAAUGCCUGGGUAAAUCGGGCCGCUUAACGGUUCGAAUUCCGGGUAGACUGAUAAACUUGGGACCGGGAGAAGCUAGAGGUACUCCUGGGGUAGAGGUGAAAUUCUGUAAUCCUAGGGGGACCACCAGUGGCGAAGGCGUCUAACUAGAACGGGUCUGACGGUGAGGGACGAAGCCCUGGGGCGCAAACCGGAUUAGAUACCCGGGUAGUCCAGGGUGUAAACGCUGCUUGCUUGAUGUUAGUCGGGCUCCGAGCCCGAUUAGUGUCGGAGAGAAGUUGUUAAGCAAGCUGCCUGGGAAGUACGGCCGCAAGACUGAAACUUAAAGGAAUUGGCGGGGGAGCACAGCAACGGGUGGAGCGUGCGGUUUAAUUGGAUUCAACGCCGGAAAGCUCACCGGAGGCGACGGUUAUAUGAAGGCCAAGCUGAUGACUUUGCCUGAUUUUCCGAGAGGUGGUGCAUGGCCGCCGUCAGUUCGUACCGUAAGGCGUUCUGUUAAGUCAGACAACGAACGAGACCCUCAUCUUUAAUUGCUACUGGUAAGUCCGCUUAUCAGGCACAUUAAAGAAACCGCUGGCGAUAAGUCAGAGGAAGGCGAGGGCAACGGUAGGUCAGUAUGCCCUGAAUCCUCCGGGCUCCACGCGCGCUACAAAGGCUAGGACAAUGGGCUUCGACACCAAAAGGUGAAGGUAACCUCGAAACCUAGUCAUAGUUCGGAUCGAGGGUUGUAACUCACCCUCGUGAAGCUGGAAUCCGUAGUAAUCGCGGAUCAACAUCCCGCGGUGAAUAUGCCCCUGCUCCU
RNAcentral lists this ribosomal RNA (861 nucleotides) under uncultured archaeon. Its description in RNAcentral is "SSU rRNA". It matches the Rfam family "Archaeal small subunit ribosomal RNA", at positions 474 to 1337 of the family's 1478-position model. The record is from RNAcentral.